GAUGAACGCUGGCGGCGUGCCUAAUACAUGCAAGUCGAGCGAACAGACGAGGAGCUUGCUCCUCUGACGUUAGCGGCGGACGGGUGAGUAACACGUGGAUAACCUACCUAUAAGACUGGGAUAACUUCGGGAUACCGGAGCUAAUACCGGAUAAUAUAUUGAACCGCAUGGUUCAAUAGUGAAAGACGGUUUUGCUGUCACUUAUAGAUGGAUCCGCGCCGCAUUAGCUAGUUGGUAAGGUAACGGCUUACCAAGGCGACGAUGCGUAGCCGACCUGAGAGGGUGAUCGGCCACACUGGAACUGAGACACGGUCCAGACUCCUACGGGAGGCAGCAGUAGGGAAUCUUCCGCAAAGGGCGAAAGCCUGACGGAGCAACGCCGCGUGAGUGAUGAAGGUCUUCGGAUCGUAAAACUCUGUUAUUAGGGAAGAACAAAUGUGUAAGUAACUAUGCACGUCUUGACGGUACCUAAUCAGAAAGCCACGGCUAACUACGUG
Molecule: ribosomal RNA, 497 nt
Filed under: uncultured bacterium
Lineage: Bacteria
Description: partial 16S ribosomal RNA
Rfam family: Bacterial small subunit ribosomal RNA
Source: RNAcentral